Prionailurus viverrinus (fishing cat) is the source of this 619-nucleotide long non-coding RNA. RefSeq lists it as uncharacterized. NCBI's taxonomy places the organism in Eukaryota, Metazoa, Chordata, Mammalia, Carnivora, Felidae. The transcript is spliced from 4 exons. The record is from RefSeq and is a predicted model, not a curated record.
AGCCAACCGUGGCGACCGCAGCCCGCCCCGCACUGUCUGUCACGCGGCCCGCAGCCCCCUCCGCGAAGCCCGGGCCCGGGGAUCCAGGUGGGCACCAGGCCUCUUCUCCCACUUGGGCAUUUCCUGCAGCGGCCCGUCCAGGUUUCACCAUGCCUCAGUGAGGCCCUGGAGCCUCACCAGCUCCAGGAAGCCCCCUCUGAUUACUCCAGAGUGAGGAAAAGGAUCUAGUCGGCCCCAUAUACGGUUAUAUCCCCAGCGCCUAAUACUAUGCCUGGCACUAGUGGGGGCUCCAGAGCAAGAGGGAAGUUUUGGACGAUGGCAUCUUCCCCGGACGGUCCCAGGAGUGUGGCUGUUUUGAAAAAUCAGGCGUUCCUGCCAGAGGCGCUUCAGGCUUUCAACAGCCCUCUUAGCGCUCCUCUUUCUCAGGAUCCCAGUGAUUAACGUCACAAGCCCUUCCCGGAGACUGUGCAGCGAGACGCUGGAGGAGAACCGAGAAGUGAGACGUCAGUGAGUCAGAACUCAUUCAAAGCCCCGGAGUUUCCCGGCCGUUACCUUCCACGCCUGGACCUAUGAGUCAGGGUCAUCUCGCCCCCGUUGUGUGUGGUGCCUACAUGCUUCC